RNAcentral lists this long non-coding RNA (1375 nucleotides) under Anas platyrhynchos platyrhynchos (common mallard). RNAcentral's name for it is "lncRNA (ENSAPLG00000030628.1)". The record is from RNAcentral. Lineage: Eukaryota; Metazoa; Chordata; Aves; Anseriformes; Anatidae.
UUCGCUUCUCCCCCGGGAUCUUCCAAAACUCGCUCGGUGUCGGCAGCUGAAUUCCUGCCCGUGCAAUUCCCCUCGGGGGCCGAGGGCUUGGAGCGGGGCCAGGGCAGAGCCCGGCUAUCCGGUUGCAAGUGCAUUUCGGGGUGGAUGCAGCUGCUUUCCAAAGUUUUCCAGCAGAGAAAGAGGCGUUUUGCAUCAAUACACCAAAUGCCUUCAUUUUUGCAUAAAUAACACCAAAUGCCUUCAUUUCUGCAUAAAUACACCAAAUGCCUUCUGCGGCUCCUGAACGGGUAAAAGUCACGGGCCAAGCACAAGGGGGCACUGCCCUGGGCUCUGCUGCCCCUGUUUAAAAUUCCCCAAGUCCCCAUGUCCCCAAAGGCCUCAGCACCCCAAAAACACGCCCGAGGGGCUGCCCAGAUGUUCCCCCCAGCUGCCUUCAUGUGCCCCCAGCUCACCCAAUUAUUGCUCCGUGGUGCCCAGACACCACCUCACGCUGCCCAGGGGUUGCCCUGGAUCCUCAGACAUUGUUCCGGGAUGCUCACAGACCAUCCAGGACACCCGAGUGUUGCUCCAGAAGCCCGAGGGUCUCCCUUGACGUACAGGUGUUGCUCCGGGAUAACCAGAGGUGGCCCCAGGGAUGCCCCGAUGUCAUUCUGUGGUGCCCAGGUGUUGCCCUGGGUGUACAGAUGCUGCCCCAGGGAUGCCCAGAUGUUGCCCUGGAUUUACAGAUGUCCCCCCAGAGUGCUCAGAGAUUGCCCAUAGUGCCCAGAUGUCACAGGGUGCCCUCCGGUCCCACAUGUGGCCAUGGUCACGCCCUCCCUGACCCAUGAGGAACCCCCCGCCCCGUGCUGUGGUUCCCAGUUCCUUGCUUUGUGCUGCAGCUCCUGGUCCCCACGUUCCGGCCUGGGGCAGCCUCUUGUCCCCCGGUGCUGGUGGUUUUGGCCAGAAGUGGUGCCAGCCAGGUGCAGGCAGCCCUUGACACCGGCACAGGGCUUGAAAUCAACGCCUGGUUCGGGUGGAGGGGCCGGGGCCGGGGAGCCUGGGAUGGGGCUGGGGGCCAGGCUCCAGACCCCAGCUGCGGCGUGACCCCAGGCAAGGCCACCACGUCCUGCACCACCAACACAGCCGUGUCCCCGUGUGCCACCAGGCUGCCACCACCCCGCUAGGCCAGCACAGCGUCACCCAGCCCGAGCACACCGGGUGCCACCGGAGCUGGGACGAGGCACUGUCACUGUCCCCAGGUGUGGUGGCACAGGGGUGGCCCCACGGGUCCCUCCUGGUGCUGGGCACCAGCUCCGGCACCGGCAGCCACAUCCCUGGGCAGAGCGGGGUCCUGUGAUGGGGGGCCCCUGGUGUAGGGCCCUGGGUUCAACCCCCC